UGGGGAAUAUUGCACAAUGGGGGAAACCCUGAUGCAGCGACGCCGCGUGAACGAAGAAGGUAUUCGUAUCGUAAAGUUCUGUCCUAUGGGAAGAUAAUGACAGUACCAUAGAAGAAAGCUCCGGCUAAAUACGUGCCAGCAGCCGCGGUAAUACGUAUGGAGCGAGCGUUGUCCGGAAUUAUUGGGCGUAAAGGGUACGCAGGCGGUUUAAUAAGUCGAAUGUUAAAGAUCGGGGCUCAACCCCGCAAAGCACUGGAAACUGAUAAACUUGAGUAGUGGAGAGGAAAGUGGAAUUCCUGGUGUAGUGGUGAAAUACGUAGAUAUUAGGAGGAAUACCAGUAGCGAAGGCGACUUUCUGGACACAAACUGACGCUGAGGUACGAAAGCGUGGGGAGCAAACAGG
This 403-nucleotide ribosomal RNA is filed under the name bacterium. Its description in RNAcentral is "partial 16S ribosomal RNA". It matches the Rfam family "Bacterial small subunit ribosomal RNA", at positions 355 to 776 of the family's 1533-position model. The record is from RNAcentral.